GACGAACGCUGGCGGCGUGCUUAACACAUGCAAGUCGAACGAUUAAAGCCCUUUCGGGGGUGUAUAGAGUGGCGUACGGGUGAGUAACACGUGGGUAAUCUACCUUUGGGUGGGGAAUAACUCAGGGAAACUUGAGCGUAAAUACCGCAUAAUGCAGCGGCUCGACAUCGAGACAGUUGGUUAAAGAUUUAUCGCCUGAAGAGGAGCCUGCGCCUGAUUAGCUAGUUGGUGGGGUAAUGGCUACCAAGGCUACGAUCAGUAGCUGGUCUGAGAGGACGGCCAGCCACAAUGGCACUGAAACACGGGCCAUACUCCUACGGAGGCAGC
Molecule: ribosomal RNA, 327 nt
Filed under: uncultured bacterium
Lineage: Bacteria
Description: bacterial SSU rRNA
Rfam family: Bacterial small subunit ribosomal RNA
Source: RNAcentral